Molecule: long non-coding RNA, 255 nt
Filed under: Gossypium barbadense (sea-island cotton)
Lineage: Eukaryota; Viridiplantae; Streptophyta; Magnoliopsida; Malvales; Malvaceae
Description: long non-coding RNA (GBAR_LNC019884)
Source: RNAcentral
AGAAGUGAGUGGUUUCUUAACUAAACAGAGGGUGCUACUAUUCCCGGAGCUUGAAGAAGAAGCAGUGGGUUUCAAUGGGAUGGUAAAUCCUGAGAUUAUGUGAGACUUGACAGCCAUCUAAGGAUUAAUGGGAACAAAAAUUGAAGGGUUUUAUUGGUUUGUUUUUUUUUUUUUUUUUUGAACAAGGUUUUAUUGCUACGAGAAAAUAAAGAACCAUAAAUUUUAUAGAUAGAAAUUAAAGAGAUGAAGAAAUCA